UCCAGUGCUUCACCCUGAUUAAAGCCGUGUUUGCUGCAAGUCCUGACCUGCAUCCCUAAGCCGAGGGGUUUUUAGGAGUUUUGCUCCAUCCCAAAGCACAGCCUGUGUAAGCCUGGCCUGCUGGGUCCUGCUGCUCCAGAAACAAACCUGGGAAAGCUCAGAAAGUCCAAACAUGGCUUUUCAAAUGGCUGGAGCAGCAGAAUAAAGGAUGCAUUUGUCACAGUAACUUCAGUUUUCACCUGAAAACCCAGCACUCUUUGCCAUCUGAGAAGUCCCAGAAAUUUUCUAGACAAAACUGUUGGUCUGAGAUUUCACAGUUAACUUUGGAAGGCCUGAAGUGUAUAAGCUUCUCAGCUCGCAGAAAUCUGACUCCACUAUUUGUAAUACCAAAUUUUUUGAAGUUUCUCAGCCUGUAAGUAGCUUUGAAAUGAAUAAGGGCUUGCACUGCAGCUCUGUAAGGUGUCUUUUAUUCAAUUAGAGUAGGUACCAUGUUAACAUUCUUCAGUGUUGUCAUAAUUCCUCUUUUUUUUUCUUUUUUUUUUCCCAGUGAGAAUUAACUUGUCAACUGUGAAGAAGCUUCAAAUUUGUCUAUAAAUCAUUUUGCUGCAGGCUAAAAUUUGACAGGCUGUAGGUAAACACUUUUUCUCUGGUAAAAAAAAAAAAUAAGACCAAUACAUUACUAUUAUUUUUUCCCCUUUAGAAUAGAGCCUCUGAUGUCUCCAGUUUAUGACUACAGCCAAUUUUCUCCAAAUUACAGUGUGCUGUGUUCUUACAUUGCCAAGGUAAGUGAUCACCACGAGGCUGAGAACUGCAGGCAGACCUGUGGUGGCACCAUCUGAAAUUCAGCAAGGGAAUUAUUUCCAACCCAGAUUUCUGCUUGUGCUGAGCUGUGUCUCCUUCUCACCUGGGCAUUUCAGGAUUGUGAGCAGAUCCUGAGCCCCUCCCCACACGGGUGAGCUCUGUCCCUGCUGGACCCACCCUGACAAUUCCAGGCUGGAUUUCGAGGACGCCUCGCUGUGCCAGCGCUGCUGAUUUGCUGUUGAGGCUGGAAAUUUUUGACAAGUGACUCAUCCCUGUUCCAGCAACGUGUCCCAUUUGAU
RNAcentral lists this long non-coding RNA (1100 nucleotides) under Junco hyemalis (dark-eyed junco). RNAcentral's name for it is "lncRNA (ENSJHYG00000005649.1)". The record is from RNAcentral. Lineage: Eukaryota; Metazoa; Chordata; Aves; Passeriformes; Passerellidae.